This 489-nucleotide ribosomal RNA is filed under the name Actinobacillus equuli. RNAcentral describes it as "bacterial SSU rRNA". It matches the Rfam family "Bacterial small subunit ribosomal RNA", at positions 30 to 506 of the family's 1533-position model. The record is from RNAcentral. Lineage: Bacteria; Pseudomonadati; Pseudomonadota; Gammaproteobacteria; Pasteurellales; Pasteurellaceae.
AUUGAACGCUGGCGGCAGGCUUAACACAUGCAAGUCGAACGGUAGCACRARGGAGCUUGCUCCUUGGGUGACGAGUGGCGGACGGGUGAGUAAUGCUUGGGAAUCUGGCUUAUGGAGGGGGAUAACUACGGGAAACUGUAGCUAAUACCGCGUAAUAUCUUCGGAUUAAAGUGUGGGACCGCAAGGCCACAUGCCAUGAGAUGAGCCCAAGUGGGAUUAGGUAGUUGGUGGGGUAAAGGCCUACCAAGCCGACGAUCUCUAGCUGGUCUGAGAGGAUGACCAGCCACACUGGAACUGAGACACGGUCCAGACUCCUACGGGAGGCAGCAGUGGGGAAUAUUGCACAAUGGGGGGAACCCUGAUGCAGCCAUGCCGCGUGAAUGAAGAAGGCCUUCGGGUUGUAAAGUUCUUUCGGUAGCGAGGAAGGUAUCAAAUUUAAUAGAUUUGGUAAUUGACGUUAACUACAGAAGAAGCACCGGCUAACUCCGU